Molecule: ribosomal RNA, 253 nt
Filed under: uncultured bacterium
Lineage: Bacteria
Description: partial 16S ribosomal RNA
Rfam family: Bacterial small subunit ribosomal RNA
Source: RNAcentral
UACAGAGGGGGCAAGCGUUGUUCGGAAUUACUGGGCGUAAAGGGCGCGUAGGCGGCCUUCUAAGUCGAACGUGAAAUCCCCGGGCUCAACCCGGGAACUGCGUCCGAUACUGGAAGGCUAGAAUCCGGGAGAGGGAUGCGGAAUUCCAGGUGUAGCGGUGAAAUGCGUAGAUAUCUGGAGGAACACCGGUGGCGAAGGCGGCAUCCUGGACCGGCAUUGACGCUGAGGCGCGAAAGCGUGGGGAGCAAACGGG